GAUGAACGCUGGCGGCGUGCCUAAUACAUGCAAGUCGAGCGAACAGAUGAGGAGCUUGCUCCUCUGACGUUAGCGGCGGACGGGUGAGUAACACGUGGAUAACCUACCUAUAAGACUGGGAUAACUUCGGGAAACCGGAGCUAAUACCGGAUAAUAUAUUGAACCGCAUGGUUCAAUAGUGAAAGACGGUUUUGCUGUCACUUAUAGAUGGAUCCGCGCCGCAUUAGCUAGUUGGUAAGGUAACGGCUUACCAAGGCAACGAUGCGUAGCCGACCUGAGAGGGUGAUCGGCCACACUGGAACUGAGACACGGUCCAGACUCCUACGGGAGGCAGCAGUAGGGAAUCUUCCACAAUGGGCGAAAGCCUGACGGAGCAACGCCGCGUGAGUGAUGAAGGUCUUCGGGUCGUAAAACUCUGUUAUUAGGGAAGAACAAAUGUGUGAGAAACUAUGCACGUCUUGACGGUACCUAAUCAGAAAGCAACGGCUAACUACGUG
Molecule: ribosomal RNA, 497 nt
Filed under: uncultured bacterium
Lineage: Bacteria
Description: partial 16S ribosomal RNA
Rfam family: Bacterial small subunit ribosomal RNA
Source: RNAcentral